GUGAAUCAUCAAAUCUUUGAACGCAUAUUGCACUCUCUGGUAUUCCGGAGAGUACGCCUGUUUGAGGGUAAUUAAAAAGAAUCUUUAACCAAUUUUUUGGUCAAAGGAAAUGAGCUCUCCGCGUUUAUAGCGGUAGCUUGAAAUAAAUGGUCAAGUCUCAUUUUAGUCGAGACGCGUAAUAAUAUUAUUAUUCCACGACAUCAUCAUUAGGCGACUAUGAAGUUAUGAUUAC
This 232-nucleotide unclassified non-coding RNA is filed under the name Ambisporaceae sp. Its description in RNAcentral is "partial contains 5.8S ribosomal RNA and internal transcribed spacer 2". The stretch from base 1 to 71 matches the Rfam family "5.8S ribosomal RNA", at positions 84 to 154 of the family's 154-position model. Lineage: Eukaryota; Fungi; Glomeromycota; Glomeromycetes; Archaeosporales; Ambisporaceae. The record is from RNAcentral.